RNAcentral lists this ribosomal RNA (683 nucleotides) under Bacillus sp. (in: firmicutes). RNAcentral describes it as "bacterial SSU rRNA". It matches the Rfam family "Bacterial small subunit ribosomal RNA", at positions 71 to 737 of the family's 1533-position model. Lineage: Bacteria; Bacillati; Bacillota; Bacilli; Caryophanales; Bacillaceae. The record is from RNAcentral.
GACGGGAGCUUGCUCCCUUAGGUCAGCGGCGGACGGGUGAGUAACACGUGGGUAACCUGCCUGUAAGACUGGGAUAACUCCGGGAAACCGGGGCUAAUACCGGAUGCUUGAUUGAACCGCAUGGUUCAAUCAUAAAAGGUGGCUUUUAGCUACCACUUACAGAUGGACCCGCGGCGCAUUAGCUAGUUGGUGAGGUAACGGCUCACCAAGGCGACGAUGCGUAGCCGACCUGAGAGGGUGAUCGGCCACACUGGGACUGAGACACGGCCCAGACUCCUACGGGAGGCAGCAGUAGGGAAUCUUCCGCAAUGGACGAAAGUCUGACGGAGCAACGCCGCGUGAGUGAUGAAGGUUUUCGGAUCGUAAAACUCUGUUGUUAGGGAAGAACAAGUACCGUUCGAAUAGGGCGGUACCUUGACGGUACCUAACCAGAAAGCCACGGCUAACUACGUGCCAGCAGCCGCGGUAAUACGUAGGUGGCAAGCGUUGUCCGGAAUUAUUGGGCGUAAAGCGCGCGCAGGCGGUUUCUUAAGUCUGAUGUGAAAGCCCCCGGCUCAACCGGGGAGGGUCAUUGGAAACUGGGGAACUUGAGUGCAGAAGAGGAGAGUGGAAUUCCACGUGUAGCGGUGAAAUGCGUAGAGAUGUGGAGGAACACCAGUGGCGAAGGCGACUCUCUGGUCUGU